GGGUUGUGAGGUUAAGCGACUAAGCGUACACGGUGGAUGCCCUGGCAGUCAGAGGCGAUGAAGGACGUGCUAAUCUGCGAAAAGCGUCGGUAAGGUGAUAUGAACCGUUACAGCCGGCGAUGUCCGAAUGGGGAAACCCAGUGUGAUUCGUCACACUAUCGUUAACUGAAUACAUAGGUUAACGAGGCGAACCGGGGGAACUGAAACAUCUAAGUACCCCGAGGAAAAGAAAUCAACCGAGAUUCCCCCAGUAGCGGCGAGCGAACGGGGAGCAGCCCAGAGUCUGAAUCAGCUUGUGUGUUAGUGGAACGGUCUGGAAAGUCCGACGGUACAGGGUGAUAGUCCCGUACACCAAAAUGCACAGGCUGUGAACUCGAAGAGUAGGGCGGGACACGUGGUAUCCUGUCUGAAUAUGGGGGGACCAUCCUCCAAGGCUAAAUACUCCUGACUGACCGAUAGUGAACCAGUACCGUGAGGGAAAGGCGAAAAGAACCCCGGCGAGGGGAGUGAAAAAGAACCUGAAACCGUGUACGUACAAGCAGUGGGAGCACCUUCGGGUGUGACUGCGUACCUUUUGUAUAAUGGGUCAGCGACUUAUAUUCUGUAGCAAGGUUAACCGUAUAGGGGAGCCGCAGGGAAACCGAGUCUUAACUGGGCGUUAAGUUGCAGGGUAUAGACCCGAAACCCGGUGAUCUAGCCAUGGGCAGGUUGAAGGUUGGGUAACACUAACUGGAGGACCGAACCGACUAAUGUUGAAAAAUUAGCGGAUGACUUGUGGCUGGGGGUGAAAGGCCAAUCAAACCGGGAGAUAGCUGGUUCUCCCCGAAAGCUAUUUAGGUAGCGCCUCGUGAACUCAUCUUCGGGGGUAGAGCACUGUUUCGGCUAGGGGGUCAUCCCGACUUACCAACCCGAUGCAAACUACGAAUACCGAAGAAUGUUAUCACGGGAGACACACGGCGGGUGCUAACGUCCGUCGUGAAGAGGGAAACAACCCAGACCGCCAGCUAAGGUCCCAAAGUCAUGGUUAAGUGGGAAACGAUGUGGGAAGGCACAGACAGCCAGGAUGUUGGCUUAGAAGCAGCCAUCAUUUAAAGAAAGCGUAAUAGCUCACUGGUCGAGUCGGCCUGCGCGGAAGAUGUAACGGGGCUAAACCAUGCACCGAAGCUGCGGCAGCGACACGAUGUGUUGUUGGGUAGGGGAGCGUUCUGUAAGCCUGCGAAGGUGACCUGUGAGGGUUGCUGGAGGUAUCAGAAGUGCGAAUGCUGACAUAAGUAACGAUAAAGCGGGUGAAAAGCCCGCUCGCCGGAAGACCAAGGGUUCCUGUCCAACGUUAAUCGGGGCAGGGUGAGUCGACCCCUAAGGCGAGGCCGAAAGGCGUAGUCGAUGGGAAACAGGUUAAUAUUCCUGUACUUGGUGUUACUGCGAAGGGGGGACGGAGAAGGCUAUGUUAGCCGGGCGACGGUUGUCCCGGUUUAAGCAUGUAGGCUGGUUAUCCAGGCAAAUCCGGAUAAUCAAGGCUGAGGUGUGAUGACGAGGCACUACGGUGCUGAAGUAACAAAUGCCCUGCUUCCAGGAAAAGCCUCUAAGCAUCAGGUAACACGAAAUCGUACCCCAAACCGACACAGGUGGUCAGGUAGAGAAUACCAAGGCGCUUGAGAGAACUCGGGUGAAGGAACUAGGCAAAAUGGUGCCGUAACUUCGGGAGAAGGCACGCUGGUGUGUAGGUGAAGUCCCUGCGGAUGGAGCUGAGACCAGUCGAAGAUACCAGCUGGCUGCAACUGUUUAUUAAAAACACAGCACUGUGCAAACACGAAAGUGGACGUAUACGGUGUGACGCCUGCCCGGUGCCGGAAGGUUAAUUGAUGGGGUUAUCCGUAAGGAGAAGCUCUUGAUCGAAGCCCCGGUAAACGGCGGCCGUAACUAUAACGGUCCUAAGGUAGCGAAAUUCCUUGUCGGGUAAGUUCCGACCUGCACGAAUGGCGUAAUGAUGGCCAGGCUGUCUCCACCCGAGACUCAGUGAAAUUGAACUCGCUGUGAAGAUGCAGUGUACCCGCGGCAAGACGGAAAGACCCCGUGAACCUUUACUAUAGCUUGACACUGAACAUUGAGCCUUGAUGUGUAGGAUAGGUGGGAGGCUUUGAAGCGUGGACGCCAGUCUGCGUGGAGCCAACCUUGAAAUACCACCCUUUAAUGUUUGAUGUUCUAACGUUGGCCCCUUAUCGGGGUUGCGGACAGUGUCUGGUGGGUAGUUUGACUGGGGCGGUCUCCUCCCAAAGCGUAACGGAGGAGCACGAAGGUUAGCUAAUCCUGGUCGGACAUCAGGAGGUUAGUGCAAUGGCAUAAGCUAGCUUGACUGCGAGCGUGACGGCGCGAGCAGGUGCGAAAGCAGGUCAUAGUGAUCCGGUGGUUCUGAAUGGAAGGGCCAUCGCUCAACGGAUAAAAGGUACUCCGGGGAUAACAGGCUGAUACCGCCCAAGAGUUCAUAUCGACGGCGGUGUUUGGCACCUCGAUGUCGGCUCAUCACAUCCUGGGGCUGAAGUAGGUCCCAAGGGUAUGGCUGUUCGCCAUUUAAAGUGGUACGCGAGCUGGGUUUAGAACGUCGUGAGACAGUUCGGUCCCUAUCUGCCGUGGGCGCUGGAGAAUUGAGGGGGGCUGCUCCUAGUACGAGAGGACCGGAGUGGACGCAUCACUGGUGUUCGGGUUGUCAUGCCAAUGGCACUGCCCGGUAGCUAAAUGCGGAAGAGAUAAGUGCUGAAAGCAUCUAAGCACGAAACUUGCCCCGAGAUGAGUUCUCCCUGAGACUUUAAGUCUCCUGAAGGAACGUURAAGACGAYGACGUUGAUAGGCCGGGUGUGUAAGCGCAGCGAUGCGUUGAGCUAACCGGUACUAAUGAACCGUGAGGCUUAACCUUACAACGCCGAAG
RNAcentral lists this ribosomal RNA (2923 nucleotides) under Klebsiella quasipneumoniae. Its description in RNAcentral is "bacterial LSU rRNA". It matches the Rfam family "Bacterial large subunit ribosomal RNA". The record is from RNAcentral. Lineage: Bacteria; Pseudomonadati; Pseudomonadota; Gammaproteobacteria; Enterobacterales; Enterobacteriaceae.